RNAcentral lists this ribosomal RNA (467 nucleotides) under uncultured bacterium. Its description in RNAcentral is "bacterial SSU rRNA". It matches the Rfam family "Bacterial small subunit ribosomal RNA", at positions 337 to 796 of the family's 1533-position model. The record is from RNAcentral.
GCCUACGGGGGGCAGCAGUGGGGAAUAUUGCACAAUGGGCGCAAGCCUGAUGCAGCCAUGCCGCGUGUAUGAAGAAGGCCUUCGGGUUGUAAAGUACUUUCAGCGAGGAGGAAGGCAUUAAGGUUAAUAACCUUAGUGAUUGACGUUACUCGCAGAAGAAGCACCGGCUAACUCCGUGCCAGCAGCCGCGGUAAUACGGAGGGUGCAAGCGUUAAUCGGAAUUACUGGGCGUAAAGCGCACGCAGGCGGUCUGUGAAGUCGGAUGUGAAAUCCCCGGGCGCAACCUGGGAACUGCAUUCGAAACUGGCAGGCUAGAGUCUUGUAGAGGGGGGUAGAAUUCCAGGUGUAGCGGGGAAAUGCGUAGAGAUCUGGAGGAAUACCGGUGGCGAAGGCGGCCCCCUGGACAAAGACUGACGCUCAGGUGCGAAAGCGUGGGGAGCAAACAGGAUUAGAUACCCUAGUAGUCC